This 254-nucleotide ribosomal RNA is filed under the name Salmonella enterica. RNAcentral describes it as "partial 16S ribosomal RNA". It matches the Rfam family "Bacterial small subunit ribosomal RNA", at positions 1 to 251 of the family's 1533-position model. The record is from RNAcentral. RNAcentral also lists the same sequence under 1 other name. Lineage: Bacteria; Pseudomonadati; Pseudomonadota; Gammaproteobacteria; Enterobacterales; Enterobacteriaceae.
AAAUUGAAGAGUUUGAUCAUGGCUCAGAUUGAACGCUGGCGGCAGGCCUAACACAUGCAAGUCGAACGGUAACAGGAAGCAGCUUGCUGCUUUGCUGACGAGUGGCGGACGGGUGAGUAAUGUCUGGGAAACUGCCUGAUGGAGGGGGAUAACUACUGGAAACGGUGGCUAAUACCGCAUAAUGUCGCAAGACCAAAGAGGGGGACCUUCGGGCCUCUUGCCAUCAGAUGUGCCCAGAUGGGAUUAGCUUGUUG